Molecule: ribosomal RNA, 253 nt
Filed under: uncultured bacterium
Lineage: Bacteria
Description: partial 16S ribosomal RNA
Rfam family: Bacterial small subunit ribosomal RNA
Source: RNAcentral
UACGAAGGGUGCAAGCGUUACUCGGAAUUACUGGGCGUAAAGCGUGCGUAGGUGGUUCGUUAAGUCUGAUGUGAAAGCCCUGGGCUCAACCUGGGAAUGGCAUUGGAAACUGGCGACCUAGAGUGCGGUAGAGGGUAGUGGAAUUCCCGGUGUAGCAGUGAAAUGCGUAGAGAUCGGGAGGAACACCCGUGGCGAAGGCGACUACCUGGACCAGCACUGACACUGAGGUGCGAAAGCGUGGGGAGCAAACAGG